Molecule: ribosomal RNA, 183 nt
Filed under: uncultured bacterium
Lineage: Bacteria
Description: partial 16S ribosomal RNA
Rfam family: Bacterial small subunit ribosomal RNA
Source: RNAcentral
UGCAUGAAGUCGGAAUUGCUAGUAAUCGCGGAUCAGCAUGCCGCGGUGAAUACGUUCCCGGGCCUUGUACACACCGCCCGUCACACCAUGGGAGCCGGUAAUACCCGAAGUCAGUAGUCCAACCUCGUGAGGACGCUGCCGAAGGUGGGCUUGAUAAUUGGGGUGAAGUCGUAACAAGGUAAC